CUAACAAGGAUUCCCCUAGUAAUGGCGAAUGAAGGGGGAAAAGCUCAAAUUUUAAAUCUACCUGGUUCCCAGGUCGAAUUGUAAUUUGAAGAAACGAUGUCGGUGUUAAGGUCUGGUUCAAGUUCUUUGGAACAAGACAUCAUGGAGGGUGAGAAUCCCGUGCAUGAUCAGACCGAGAUACUUAAUAUUCGUUCUCUAAGAGUCGAGUUGUUUGGGAAUGCAGCUCAAAAUGGGUGGUAGACUUCACCUAAGGCUAAAUAUCAGCGAGAGACCGAUAGCGAACAAGUACUGUGAAGGAAAGAUGAAAAGAACUUUGAAAAGAGAGUUAAAUAGUACGUGAAAUUGUUGAAAGGGAAACGAUUGAAGUCAGUCAUGCUAGUGAAAAUUCAGUUUGGCGGAUUUUGGGUUUAGGAGUAGAGGCAGGGUCAAACCGUUUCUCUUUUGAACUUGGAAUUUGUCAGAUGCACUUUUUCUUUGGCAGGUCAGCGUCGAUUUCGGAGGUUGUAAAAUACUUGGGGUAAAGUAGCUCUGCUUCGGGAGAGUGUUAUAGACCUUGGGGGAUGCAGCCUGCGGGAUCGAGGAUUGCAGCAAAUGCUUUUGGCUUGUCGCCUGAUCUCUGGAUGUUACCUCGCUUGUAACAACAUUCUUGUUGCCGGUGAGUACUAAUGCCUAUUAGGUUAGAGCGAUCAAAAAUUUUGCUAAGGAUGC
This 708-nucleotide ribosomal RNA is filed under the name Diversispora eburnea. RNAcentral describes it as "eukaryotic LSU rRNA". It matches the Rfam family "Eukaryotic large subunit ribosomal RNA", at positions 65 to 626 of the family's 3401-position model. The record is from RNAcentral. Lineage: Eukaryota; Fungi; Glomeromycota; Glomeromycetes; Diversisporales; Diversisporaceae.